GUUUUCCCCACGUGGCCACAGCCCCUCUUCAGGCACCGUCUUCCUCCGGACCCUUCUACGGCUCCCGAGACCGCCUCUCCAUCUCCGUUUCCGCCGAGAUCUUGCUAAGACGAAGCCGACAGACAUUACGGUCGUCCUUUUUGGAAGAAACCUUGUUACGGAGUGCACGAGAAUUACAGGCCACCAGGCACAGGGGACCAAACUGAAAGGGAAAAAAAGGUCCUUUAAUGAGCAAGCCAGGCAAGCGACCCGGGGCAGCCUAGCGCCUCAAAGAACUCCCGGCACCUGAUUUUUGGAAGUUCAGAGUUUAUAAAGGCAAAAUCCACAAAAACCACAAGAACAAUCGAGGUCCAGGGCCAUAGGGACACGGGAAGGUCCCACUGUACUGUCAACACAGAUAACAGCUGUUCCGGGGAGGCUGAAAAGACAACAUUUAAGCAAGAUACAAAGGAGUCAGGUACGGUGCUGGGCACUGAGGAGGACAAGGCUGAGUGGAGCCCGUCUCUGCCCUCAAGGUGCUCAUCACUUCUUUGUGACACUAUCUAUGGUCCAGUGGGCCUUGCGGUGUAGCCCCAGGUCCCUUCUCUGCUCUUCUGGAUAUUUGGGCCCUUCCCUGGGAGGCUAGGUCACAGCAGGGGAACAGUCAGCAGUUCUGGAGGCUGGAAUUCUGAUGUCCGGGAUCAGCACGGUCAGGCUCUGAGGAGAACCUGAGGCUAGAGGUGCCAGAAGACUCGCUCCCGUUCAUACAGCGGUGCCUUAGCUUGAGAGAAGUCUGUCAUUCACGGAGGUGUUUUGGGUGAGAAAGAUCUAAGGUCCGUGGACACUUCAGCUAACAAGAGGGGUCAAGAAGUGAAGAUUUUAUUCCGGGCAGCCCAUAACCCAACUAAAACAAUUAUGUUCUGUUACUGAGGAAGGAGGAGAGAUAGGUGAUGGGGGACAGAAGCAGCCACUGUCAUAGAGAGGAUAAAAAAAAUGAACUUGACCCAUUUGCCUACCG
Non-coding RNA from Ictidomys tridecemlineatus (thirteen-lined ground squirrel), 997 nucleotides. Lineage: Eukaryota; Metazoa; Chordata; Mammalia; Rodentia; Sciuridae. The record is from RefSeq and is a predicted model, not a curated record.